AGAAUCAUUAAUUAUUUUGACAGUCAAGUCGACCUUGUUUUCAUUCUACUGUCUUUGAAGAUGAUUCUUCAAAUCUUGGUUGUGUUCCUGGUUAUGUCUCUUGCACAAUGUGAAUAUGCAGAAAAGCAGGUUGCCAAGCGACUUACAUGUGAUGUUUGGCUAAUGGGCGGAGCCCUGUGCACCAUGCACUGCGCUGGACAUGGACAUUCAGGCGGCCACUGCAACAAACACAAUGUUUGUGUCUGCCGUCAUUAAGAAGAAAAGAAGAUGAUGACCAAUACGAGUUUUGUACGUACUAAUCGUCAUCUUUUGGAAAAUAAUAAAAAAUAAUAACCAUGGAA
Molecule: long non-coding RNA, 341 nt
Organism: Gigantopelta aegis
Lineage: Eukaryota; Metazoa; Mollusca; Gastropoda; Neomphalida; Peltospiridae
Exons: 4
Source: RefSeq, a predicted model, not a curated record